Molecule: ribosomal RNA, 526 nt
Filed under: Bacillus sp. B63(2008)
Lineage: Bacteria; Bacillati; Bacillota; Bacilli; Caryophanales; Bacillaceae
Description: bacterial SSU rRNA
Rfam family: Bacterial small subunit ribosomal RNA
Source: RNAcentral
CCGCAGCUGGACUGGUANGAGWACCCCUCSKUAAACCUGCCUGUAAGACUGGGAUAACUUCGGGAAACCGGAGCUAAUACCGGAUAAUCCUUUUCCUCUCAUGAGGAAAAGCUGAAAGACGGUUUACGCUGUCACUUACAGAUGGGCCCGCGGCGCAUUAGCUAGUUGGUGAGGUAACGGCUCACCAAGGCGACGAUGCGUAGCCGACCUGAGAGGGUGAUCGGCCACACUGGGACUGAGACACGGCCCAGACUCCUACGGGAGGCAGCAGUAGGGAAUCUUCCGCAAUGGACGAAAGUCUGACGGAGCAACGCCGCGUGAGUGAUGAAGGUUUUCGGAUCGUAAAACUCUGUUGUUAGGGAAGAACAAGUACAAGAGUAACUGCUUGUACCUUGACGGUACCUAACCAGAAAGCCACGGCUAACUACGUGCCAGCAGCCGCGGUAAUACGUAGGUGGCAAGCGUUGUCCGGAAUUAUUGGGCGUAAAGCGCGCGCAGGCGGUCCUUUAAGUCUGAUGUGAAAGCC